RNAcentral lists this long non-coding RNA (289 nucleotides) under Gossypium raimondii (Peruvian cotton). RNAcentral's name for it is "long non-coding RNA (GRAI_LNC000102)". The record is from RNAcentral. Lineage: Eukaryota; Viridiplantae; Streptophyta; Magnoliopsida; Malvales; Malvaceae.
UGCCCUAAGGUGUUAGGUUUCGAUUUCACAUUUAGCCAAAUUGCUAAAUAUCCUCUUGAAUUUUAAUCCAUGCCAUUCGAAAUUUUUUUUAAGGAUCGUAUUUUGAAUUUCUUUAAAGUUUUCAGCUUUUCGACACUAAGACAUUAAGUAAUCAACUAGGUACCAAUUUUGGGCGUAUCGAGGGUGCUAAUCCUUCCUCGUGCGUAACCAACUCCCGAACCCAUUUUUUCUGAAUUUCGUGGACCAAACUUGUUGUUUUAAUAAAAUCAAACCUUUUAUUAAAAACAAC